Molecule: ribosomal RNA, 588 nt
Filed under: uncultured bacterium
Lineage: Bacteria
Description: bacterial SSU rRNA
Rfam family: Bacterial small subunit ribosomal RNA
Source: RNAcentral
CCUACGGGAGGCAGCAGUGGGGAAUAUUGCACAAUGAGCGAAAGCUUGAUGCAGCCAUACCGCGUGUGUGAAGAAGGCCCGAGGGUUGUAAAGCACUUUCAAUUGUGAGGAAGGUAGUGUAGUUAAUACCUGCAUUGCUUGACGUUAACCUUAGAAGAAGCACCGGCUAACUCUGUGCCAGCAGCCGCGGUAAUACAGAGGGUGCAAGCGUUAUUCGGAAUUACUGGGCGUAAAGCGCGCGUAGGCGGACUAUUAAGUCAGUUGUGAAAGCCCUGGGCUCAACCUGGGAACUGCAUCUGAUACUGGUAGUCUAGAGUUUAAGAGAGGGAAGUGGAAUUCCAGGUGUAGCAGUGAAAUGCGUAGAUAUCUGGAGGAACAUCAGUGGCGAAGGCGACUUCCUGGCUUAAAACUGACGCUGAGGUGCGAAAGCGUGGGUAGCGAACGGGAUUAGAUACCCCGGUAGUCCACGCCGUAAACGAUGUCAACUAGUUGUUGGUCUUAUUAAAAGGAUUAGUAACGAAGCUAACGCGAUAAGUUGACCGCCUGGGGAGUACGGUCGCAAGAUUAAAACUCAAAGGAAUUGACGGA